GUUCAAACAUUGGUUCUCAUAUGAUCACUGAAGUUAAGCAACAUUGAACCUGGUUAGUACCUAGAUGGGUGACCACUUGGCAAUACCAGGUGGUGUA
Acanthosepion pharaonis is the source of this 97-nucleotide non-coding RNA. The record is from the annotation of a GenBank genome assembly. Lineage: Eukaryota; Metazoa; Mollusca; Cephalopoda; Sepiida; Sepiidae.